GCGGGGGUGGCCGAGUGGACAAAGGCGGUAGAGGUUGAGACCUACUGGGCGUAGGCCCUUCGCCGGUUCGAAUCCGGCCCCCCGCA
Molecule: transfer RNA, 86 nt
Rfam family: tRNA
About the family: Transfer RNA (tRNA) molecules are approximately 80 nucleotides in length. Their secondary structure includes four short double-helical elements and three loops (D, anti-codon, and T loops).